CUACUGGUAAAGCGCUGACCGCCCCGCACACCUCACCCCCACCCUCUCGCUCUUCCUUCUUGAGUCCACCAGCGGCAGCGCCAGUCUCCCGUGCGAGAGGGUCCGAGUCAUGGAGCGCGGCAGCAGCGAUGUGGCUGCCUCGCUCUUAGCGACGGAGUUUAAAGGGGACGCACAGUCGUCUGAGCGUCUCCGAGCUGGCCGCCCCAAGGCUGUCGCCACGGAUGCUGCUGCAGGCCCUUUCCCGGGCCGGCGCCGCGCAAGCAGGACUCAGGUGCAGUCGCUCCUCGAGGACCAGCGCCGUUUUGCGCUACGCGACGGCGUUGCAUUGCCGCAGCUGUAUUCGUCUUCUGAGGGUGUAUCGGCCACCGACUGCAGGGCCGGUGCUGUGGCCCUCUCGCGCCUGCCGGACAUGUUCGGGCAGGGAGCGCUGCCGGCCAAGGCCUUGACAUCGCCGACUUCCAUGAAUGCUGCAUUGUCAACGUCGGCGGUCGCCACGGCUCUGCAGGACGCCGUGCUCUGCUGGGGCGCGUCAUCGUCGUCAUCUGCGACGCGUGGAGGUGCGGUGGGUACAUGUCGCAGCAGCGUCGGUGGCAGUGGAGCCAUCUCGGCGCCGCACGUCCGUCGCUCCUGGCGACUCAUAGAAGUAACGCAUCGAAGCGCAGUGCCUUCAACCUCGUCGCCGUACCCACCUUCGAACUGGAGCAUCGGGCAGCGUUGGGAGCGCGCAGACCACGUGGCCCAGGUCAACGCUCUGGCCCAUGCCGUAUGGGCGGAGCCGGUCAUGCAACCUGCUAGCGUGCAGGCCGCACCGCUGCCGACUGGCCUGGUGCGAUCUAACACAGAUUGCUUGUACGCCAGCGGGUUGCGCAUGUGCUUCGACAGCACGCGCUCCACUGCGUCCUUGCCAGCCUUUGCGUCCGCUGCCUCCUCCAAUGUCCUUGUGCGCACGGAAGUCGAGGACACGCGCGAGGAGAGCGCCGUCCACGGUUGUGGCUGCUCCUCACUAUUUGCGGCAUCAGGCGCGAUGACGGCGGCGAAGCCGCCGCCGCUGGCGUUCUUCACCUUCACAGAGAGCGAGUACGAUGCGAUCGUUCCACCACCGCCGCCAUCGACACGCUUCACGUACGCUUCGUCCUGCUACCUGGUGCAGCUGUGGGCACGGUUCGGCAAUCCCGUCGUGACUGUGGAUCGUUGGCGGUGGCCAGAGGGUGGUAAUGAGGAAAGUGGAGGCGACGGCGAGCGGUGGGUGCCGUCCGUGGAGGAGGUGUGCGCAGAGUACCACCGCGUCACCGCCGGAGUUCUGCAACAGCGGCGACAGCAGCUGCUGGACGCUGUGCAGUCGCAGCAGCCUCACCUGCUGAGCGAGUCGUCCCCUGCACUGCCGCCUACAACGUGCGCCACUCGCAGGGGUGGAAGGAAAGGGACAGAGGCCACGGUCGACGAGCGCAGCAGCUCUGUCGCUGGAGGUGCUUCGACGACGGCGCCCUCACAUCAUGUGCAUCCUUUUGUGGCCUCCUUUGACCGCUAUGCUCUUCUCCAGAGCACUCCAACCGCAGCACCCGCAGAUGACGUCCGUGCGGCUCCUGCAUCAUCGCAGCAAGCGCUGAGCACUGCGAAAGGCCGGGACGGCGGGCACUCGGUGUCGCUGCUGCCAUCACAACUGUCACCACCGCCGAUCCCGCCAUCGACGCACGGCUCUUCCGCCACUAUUGCCGCUACCGCAUGUGGUGAUUCGGGGUCACUUACAUUGGAUGCCCCUCCUUCACCACCGCCAGCAGGGUCCACAGCCACUGCUCAGGAGCGGCUGACAGCGCUGGCGACGCCAAACGCCUGGUUCGCGCACGACGCUGAGGUGCGCCGACGCGCCUGCCUCGCACGACUGCUACGGCAAGAGCAGCAGGCAAAUGUGCCGUAUCAGCAGGCGGCCAACCGAUACCUCGCCUUGGUAGCGGGUGCCGCGGUGGCACUGCAGCGCGCUGUGUUUGCUUUUUACAACCGCGGUGAUGAAGCCGACAUGCCUGAGGCACCGGUGUGGGAGGAGGUGGUGGCAGGGGACUCGACUGACCGCGCUAGCCUCACGGAGGCGGACGCGCACCGUGGUACAAGCUCUCCCUCUUCACGCCGGCUGGGCCGCCCUCCUCGGAGCACCUUCACGGUGCAGCUGCAGCCGCUACCGAGGGUGGACCCGGCCGCGUGGCGGGCAGCCGAGGUCGCGGUACGCAAAGCGGAGGCGGAAGUGCUGGGCUCGAUGAGCCCCGCCGCGCCAACAGCAGCUGCUGACGCGGCCUCGCCUUCGCGGCGCCCGCCCCGGUCCGCUGCGGCAGUGGCGCGAUCGCAGAAGCGCCCACGUAGUGCGACCGCAGAGCGAGCCGCUACGACCGGCAAGCGCAAAGGCCGCGUAGCGGUGGCCAAGAGCGCCCCAGAUGGUGCUGCAGCAGACGCCCUAGCGCAGCUCAACGACGGCGACGACGAGGUUGCCGACAGCGAAGCUUCCGCGCUGUCUGAAACCGGUGGCGCGUUCAGCGACGAAGAGCAAGGCCUCGAGGACAGCGUCGCAGGUGAGGAGGGUGAUGGGGGCGUGAAGAUGGGAUUCACAGAAGAGCAGCGACAGCAACAUUCCACGCAGCCCUCUCCUCGAAAACUGCCGUCAUCGCGGCUGCGCCGUUCCGUUGGCACUGGGACAUCUCAUAGUCAAGCAUCACAGCUUUCAGUGGAUGCCACGUACGCAGCGCUGCAGGCUUACAUCACGGACGUGCUACCUUUCCGCUGUGCUCGGCUGCGCGGCGUGGUGCAGGCGGGUUGGCUGCUCCCCGCACCCCCCGCACUGCCGCACACCCUCACCGACCCCAUUAAGGAAGAGGAGGUGUGCACCGUCGAUGCGCAGGUACGAGGGAAAACCGGUGCAGAGAUUUGGCCGACACCCGCCUUUCCAUCGUCGUCAUCCGCGCCACAGCAAGAGCAGGCACCCGUGACCGGCGACACGGCGGCGACACAGUCCCUGGAUUCAGCUCUGCUUGCCCCCAUUCUAACAGAGGGGGAGUAUCAGCAGCUGCGAAAGGUGAGCACGGCGGGCGUCUGCAACCGCGUCGUUAGCCACACCGAUGAGGCUGUCCUUCUCUCCCUGCCAUCUGCUGUGCCGCGGCUGCACCGUGAGGUGGAGCAGGAGCUGGAGCGGUACCUGUAUGAGGACACAUCAGCGUUGAUGGAGGUGAACCCGAUUGCGCAGUCGCUCGUCGACGCUAUUCGUGUCGCCUACACGCAGAACAAGCUGCUGCAACGCUUCGCAACGCGGCUGGAGCACGUUCGGGAAGGACUGAAGAAGGUCAGCGAAGAGUGCGAGGAGGAGGCGCAGGCGGUGCCGCGCGUACCCUAAGGAAGUGCGCGCCCGCACCAGCGGGUCCCCGGAAGCGUCCGCCAUCCCCCCCUCCUCUCUCCCGGUGCCACGAGGCGCGUCUGUUGGCAGGAAGAAGCGCUGGUGUGGGAGAGGCCGAGAGGGGGAGAGGAUGAAGUGCUGUGCCUGUAGGUUGCUGUCCAAGUCGCACGCAUGGUCCCUCUCUCUUCCCUUGCCCCCCCCACCCACGCACACGCACACGCACACCGUUGCCUCUAGCUUGUGCGACAGACCUUGCGCAUACACGUACAUGUGCACAGAUCAACACGCAAGCCCUCGUGCGCCCCUCACGCGGGUGGAGGGGAACUGAAAGUACGCGUGCUCGGGUCGAC
RNAcentral lists this unclassified non-coding RNA (3723 nucleotides) under Leishmania donovani. RNAcentral's name for it is "gene:LdHU3.14.1190(CDS-product:hypothetical_prote in_conserved)". The record is from RNAcentral. Lineage: Eukaryota; Euglenozoa; Kinetoplastea; Trypanosomatida; Trypanosomatidae.